RNAcentral lists this ribosomal RNA (298 nucleotides) under Madarococcus eurythrix. Its description in RNAcentral is "partial 28S ribosomal RNA". The record is from RNAcentral. Lineage: Eukaryota; Metazoa; Arthropoda; Insecta; Hemiptera; Eriococcidae.
GAGCCCGUGAAUCUGGGCGGCGGAAUUCAGAAUUGACGGGCGUGCUCUCGCGGGCGCGUCCGGCUGUUUGAUAUUUCCGUCGCCGCGUAGACGUCGCGACCUGUUCGAUGUCGGUCCUUGCUCGGAGGAACCGCGAACGAGUUCGCUGCGGGGUGCGUUUCGGCGUURCUUUCGCGGCGAAGUCGCGGACUUCUGGCCGACUUAUCGGACAGUAAGCGGAACGGUGUCCGGCGUCGCUGCCCCGUGUACGCGGCGCCGGGACCGGUCGGCGACGAUUUCUUCGGGCCUCUGUCCGACC